Molecule: unclassified non-coding RNA, 266 nt
Filed under: Hevea brasiliensis (rubber tree)
Lineage: Eukaryota; Viridiplantae; Streptophyta; Magnoliopsida; Malpighiales; Euphorbiaceae
Source: RNAcentral
ACGUUUUUUUUUUUUUUUGAAGUUUCUGCUAUUACGAGGGGACGAUGGUGCCAAUGUAGCCAAAUCCAGCAAUUGUGAAAGUGAUGACUUGGAGGAAGAUGUAAAGAAAGUACUGGCUUUUCCCAUAGAGGACAUCAUAGCAUCCACAAAAGAAAAGGAAAACUGCGAAUCCCAAUUCUUGUGGAAGAAUCCUGUCUCCAAAUAGAGAUCCUCGGGGUUUUUUGGUUUGUUUUGUUUUUUCUUUGUUCUUGAGAGCAUCACCUAGU